GACGAACGCUGGCGGCGUGCUUAACACAUGCAAGUCGAACGGAAAGGCCCUGCUUUUGUGGGGUGCUCGAGUGGCGAACGGGUGAGUAACACGUGAGUAACCUGCCCUUGACUUUGGGAUAACUUCAGGAAACUGGGGCUAAUACCGGAUAGGAGCUCCUGCUGCAUGGUGGGGGUUGGAAAGUUUGGGCGGUUGGGGAUGGACUCGCGGCUUAUCAGCUGGUUGGUGGGGUAGUGGCUUACCAAGGCCUUGACGGGUAGCCGGCCUGUGAGGGUGACCGGGCCCCUUGGGCCUGAGAGAGGGAGCAGACUGCUACGGGAGGCAACAGUGGGGAGUAUUGCACAAUGGGCGGGAGCGUGAUGAGAAGACGCCGCGUGCGGGAUGCCGGGUUUCGGGUUGUGAACAGCUUUCGCCUGUGACGAAGCGUGAGUGACGGUAAUGGAUAAAGAAGCACCGGCUAACUACGUG
Molecule: ribosomal RNA, 468 nt
Filed under: uncultured bacterium
Lineage: Bacteria
Description: partial 16S ribosomal RNA
Rfam family: Bacterial small subunit ribosomal RNA
Source: RNAcentral